AUGGACUACGAGCGCAUCCACGACCCGCCCCACCGCCAGUCGGGCGGAUUCUCGCCGGCCAAGCUGCGAGCGAUGCUUCUCGGGCUCGAGAAGCACCAGCACUCCGGCGAGGACACCUCGCCCGAGGCCAACGACUCCGGCGAGCUCGACGACCGGAGGAGCUUGGAAUGCUCCACCUCCACCGAGAUGUCCAGCAACAGCGGCCACAGAUCAAGGAACCGGGCUCCGGAGGACGACAGCUUCGACUCCGAGAGCAGCUCUUCGGGGCCGACAACGGUUAAGAGGGCCGCGGCGGUGUCUGCUCUGCUGCCGCCGUUCUCUAGACCGACGCCGUCGAAAUGGGACGACGCCGAGAAGUGGAUUUCGAGCCCGACGGCGAACCGUACUGGCCGUGUGAUGACCGCCGCAGGGUUUGCGCCGAAGAAGACGGCAUUUGCUUUACCUGAGCACGGUGCCUGCCCGCCAGCCGCUGCUAAGGUGGUCGCCGAGGUGCCGAGAAACACCGGAACAUUGACUGAUAAUUCAGUUGGUUCCACGCAGCCCGAUUCAAUCAAACCUGCAGAAACUGCCCCAAUAGUCGACGAACCAGAACACGUAAUUCGGUCUGUCUCGAUGAGAGAUAUGGGAACAGAAAUGACUCCGAUUGCCAGCCAGGAGCCCUCUCGGACUGGGACUCCGAUAAUAGCAUCCAGCCCUACCUCCACUAGGACGCCAACUCCUAACCGGAGCGUAGAAUUUGGUGUUGGUACAAUUGAUUCCAGCAAGAUGGGCAUGUCUGAGGAGGAGCUACAGUUGAAUACCAGGAAGGAAAUCAUGGAUCUAGGCGAACGGCUAGGCAAGACGACCAUAGCUGCAUGGGCAAGCAAGGAAGAGAGAGCUACCGCAAAUUUCGCAAAUGUUCCAGCUGAUAAGGCUGUAGAAAUCGACAGAGAGACCCGUGCUGCAGAUUGGCACGAGGCAGAGAAAGCAAAGUAUCUUGCAAGGUUUCAGAGGGAAGAGGUAAAGAUCCAAGCUUGGGAAAAUCACCAGAGAGCAAAAAUUGAAGCUGAAAUGAAGAGCAUAGAGGCGAAGAUGGAAAGAAAGCGAGCUCGCGAGCACGACAGGCUUGCGAGGAAGCUGGCAUCAGCGAGGAGCAGAGCAGAGGCGAAGAGGGAGGCCGCGGAGGCGAGGAGGAGCCAAGAAGCGGAGCGAACGGAUGAGCAGGCGGCGCAGAUCCGUAAGACCGGGCACAUACCUUCCUCAAUCUCCUGCUGGUGCUGGUGCCUAUGA
This 1269-nucleotide ribosomal RNA is filed under the name Triticum aestivum (bread wheat). RNAcentral describes it as "partial small subunit ribosomal RNA". Lineage: Eukaryota; Viridiplantae; Streptophyta; Magnoliopsida; Poales; Poaceae. The record is from RNAcentral.